This 87-nucleotide transfer RNA is filed under the name Brevundimonas phage vB_BpoS-Kikimora. RNAcentral describes it as "tRNA-Lys". It matches the Rfam family "tRNA". Rfam says of the family: Transfer RNA (tRNA) molecules are approximately 80 nucleotides in length. Their secondary structure includes four short double-helical elements and three loops (D, anti-codon, and T loops). The record is from RNAcentral. Lineage: Duplodnaviria; Heunggongvirae; Uroviricota; Caudoviricetes; Jeanschmidtviridae.
GGAUAUGUCACCUCAGCGGCGAGAGGGGAGGGCUCUUAAUCCUCUGACGAAAGUCCAUCGUGGGUUCGAGUCCCACCAUAUCCUCCA